UAGGGAAUCUUCGGCAAUGGACGGAAGUCUGACCGAGCAACGCCGCGUGAGUGAAGAAGGUUUUCGGAUCGUAAAGCUCUGUUGCAAGAGAAGAACGAGUGUGAGAGUGGAAAGUUCACACUGUGACGGUAUCUUACCAGAAAGGGACGGCUAACUACGUGCCAGCAGCCGCGGUAAUACGUAGGUCCCGAGCGUUGUCCGGAUUUAUUGGGCGUAAAGCGAGCGCAGGCGGUUAGAUAAGUCUGAAGUUAAAGGCUGUGGCUUAACCAUAGUAGGCUUUGGAAACUGUUUAACUUGAGUGCAAGAGGGGAGAGUGGAAUUCCAUGUGUAGCGGUGAAAUGCGUAGAUAUAUGGAGGAACACCGGUGGCGAAAGCGGCUCUCUGGCUUGUAACUGACGCUGAGGCUCGAAAGCGUGGGGAGCAAACAGGAUUAGAUACCCUGGUAGUCCACGCUGUAAACGAUGAGUGCUAGGUGUUAGACCCUUUCCGGGGUUUAGUGCCGUAGCUAACGCAUUAAGCACUCCGCCUGGGGAGUACGACCGCAAGGUUG
Molecule: ribosomal RNA, 550 nt
Filed under: uncultured bacterium
Lineage: Bacteria
Description: bacterial SSU rRNA
Rfam family: Bacterial small subunit ribosomal RNA
Source: RNAcentral